Molecule: ribosomal RNA, 582 nt
Filed under: uncultured eukaryote
Lineage: Eukaryota
Description: bacterial SSU rRNA
Rfam family: Bacterial small subunit ribosomal RNA
Source: RNAcentral
UAAGGCCCCAUAUGCUUUAUAGUGAAACGGAUUCCUCCGCCUGGAGCAAAGCUCGCGUCUGAUUAGCUUGUUGGUAAGGUAAUGGCUUACCAAGGCGACGAUCAGUAGCUGGUUUGAGAGGAUGAUCAGCCACACUGGAACUGAGACACGGUCCAAACUCCUACGGGAGGCAGCAGUGGGGAAUUUUCUGCAAUGGGCGAAAGCCUGACAGAGCAAUACCGCGUGAGGGAUGAAGGCCCGUGGGUCGUAAACCUCUUUUUUCAAGGAGGAAGUUCUGACGUGUACUUGAAAAAUAAGCAUCGGCUAACUCCGUGCCAGCAGCCCCGGUAAGACGGAGGAUGCAAGUGUUAUCCGGAAUUACUGGGCGUAAAGCGUCUGUAGGUGGUUUAGUAAGUCGAUUGUUAAAUCUUGAGGCUUAACUUCAAAACAGCAAUGGAAACUGCUAGACUUGAGUAUGGUAGAGGUAAAAGGAAUUUCCAGUGGAGCGGUGAAAUGCGUAUAUAUUGGAAAGAACACCGAUGGCGAAGGCAUUUUACUGGGCCAUAACUGACACUCAGAGACAAAAGCUAGGGUAGCAAAAGG